UACGGAGGGUGCAAGCGUUAUCCGGAUUCACUGGGUUUAAAGGGUGUGUAGGCGGAUAUUUAAGUCAGUGGUGAAAUCUCCGGGCUCAACCCGGAAACUGCCAUUGAUACUAUUUAUCUUGAAUCUUGUUGAGGUAGGCGGAAUAUAUCAUGUAGCGGUGAAAUGCUUAGAUAUGAUAUAGAACACCGAUUGCGAAGGCAGCUUACUAAACAAGCAUUGACGCUGAGGCACGAAAGCGUGGGGAUCAAACAGG
This 253-nucleotide ribosomal RNA is filed under the name uncultured bacterium. RNAcentral describes it as "partial 16S ribosomal RNA". It matches the Rfam family "Bacterial small subunit ribosomal RNA", at positions 524 to 776 of the family's 1533-position model. The record is from RNAcentral.